ACGCUCGACACCACGGGAGGCAGCAGUGGGGAAUAUUGGGCAAUGGAAGCAACUCUGACCCAGCAACGCCGCGUGAGUGAUGAAGGUCUUCGGAUUGUAAAACUCUUUAAGUAGGGACGAAGAAAGUGACGGUACCUACAGAAUAAGCCUCGGCUAACUACGUACCAGCAGCCGCGGUAAUCUGAGCGGGCUGGCAAGGC
This 200-nucleotide ribosomal RNA is filed under the name uncultured bacterium. RNAcentral describes it as "partial 16S ribosomal RNA". It matches the Rfam family "Bacterial small subunit ribosomal RNA", at positions 328 to 539 of the family's 1533-position model. The record is from RNAcentral.